RNAcentral lists this non-coding RNA (104 nucleotides) under Yersinia mollaretii. RNAcentral describes it as "TPP sequence". It matches the Rfam family "TPP riboswitch aptamer (THI element)". Rfam says of the family: Vitamin B(1) in its active form thiamin pyrophosphate (TPP) is an essential coenzyme that is synthesised by coupling of pyrimidine and thiazole moieties in bacteria. The previously detected thiamin-regulatory element, thi box was extended, resulting in a new, highly conserved RNA secondary structure, the THI element, which is widely distributed in eubacteria and also occurs in some archaea. The record is from RNAcentral. Lineage: Bacteria; Pseudomonadati; Pseudomonadota; Gammaproteobacteria; Enterobacterales; Yersiniaceae.
AAUUCUGACUCGGGGUGCCCGCCACUAAAAGUGGUUUGGCUGAGAUUUUACCCGUAUUACCUGAUCUGGAUUAUGCCAGCGUAGGGAAGUCUCGGCACCGCAGG